AUACGUAGGGUGCGAGCGUUGUCCGGAUUUACUGGGUGUAAAGGGCGUGUAGGCGGAGAUGCAAGUCAGGAGUGAAAUCUAGGGGCUCAACCCCUAAACUGCUUUUGAAACUGUAUCCCUUGAGUAUCGGAGAGGCAGGCGGAAUUCCUAGUGUAGCGGUGAAAUGCGUAGAUAUUAGGAGGAACACCAGUGGCGAAGGCGGCCUGCUGGACGACAACUGACGCUGAGGCGCGAAAGCGUGGGGAGCAAACAGGAUUAGAUCCCCUGGUAGUCCACGCUGUAAACGAUGAAUACUAGGUGUGGGGGGACUGACCCCCUCCGUGCCGCAGUUAACACAAUAAGUAUUCCGCCUGGGGAGUACGAUCGCAAGAUUGAAACUCAAAGGAAUUGACGGGG
This 396-nucleotide ribosomal RNA is filed under the name uncultured bacterium. Its description in RNAcentral is "partial 16S ribosomal RNA". It matches the Rfam family "Bacterial small subunit ribosomal RNA", at positions 523 to 918 of the family's 1533-position model. The record is from RNAcentral.